RNAcentral lists this transfer RNA (85 nucleotides) under Felis catus (domestic cat). It matches the Rfam family "tRNA". From Rfam's summary of the family: Transfer RNA (tRNA) molecules are approximately 80 nucleotides in length. Lineage: Eukaryota; Metazoa; Chordata; Mammalia; Carnivora; Felidae. The record is from Rfam by way of RNAcentral.
GCCUGUGUGGCUUAGUCGGCUGAGCGUCUGACUUCAGUUCAGGUCAUGAUCUCAUGGUUCGUGGGUUCGAGCCCUGCAUCGGGCU